Molecule: non-coding RNA, 27 nt
Filed under: Cricetulus griseus (Chinese hamster)
Lineage: Eukaryota; Metazoa; Chordata; Mammalia; Rodentia; Cricetidae
Source: RNAcentral
CAAUGAAGAGAGUGGAGCCCUACUACA